CAGCAGCCGCGGUAAAACGUAGGGUGCGAGCGUUGUCCGGAAUUAUUGGGCGCAAAGAGCUCGUAGGCGGCUUGUCGCGUCGAAUGUGAAAGCCCGGGGCUUAACUCCGGGUCUGCAUUCGAUACGGGCAGGCUAGAGUGUGGUAGGGGAGAUCGGAAUUCCUGGUGUAGCGGUGAAAUGCGCAGAUACCAGGAGGAACACCGGUGGCGAAGGCGGAUCUCUGGGCCAUUACUGACGCUGAGGAGCGAAAGCGUGGGGAGCGAACAGGAUUAGAUACCCGCGUAGUCCCUGUCUCUUAUAC
This 301-nucleotide ribosomal RNA is filed under the name uncultured bacterium. Its description in RNAcentral is "partial 16S ribosomal RNA". It matches the Rfam family "Bacterial small subunit ribosomal RNA", at positions 509 to 807 of the family's 1533-position model. The record is from RNAcentral.